ACUCAGAAGAUGAAUCUCUUCCAGUCAAUAACGAGUGCCUUGGAUAACGCUUUAGCCAAAGAUCCAACUGCAGUAAUAUUUGGAGAAGAUGUAGCCUUUGGUGGAGUCUUCAGGUGUACAGUUGGUUUGCGAGACAAAUAUGGUAAAGACAGAGUUUUCAACACUCCCUUGUGUGAGCAAGGAAUUGUUGGUUUUGGGAUUGGAGUUGCUGUUGCAGGUGCUACAGCCAUUGCAGAGAUUCAAUUUGCAGAUUACAUUUUUCCAGCAUUUGAUCAGAUUGUUAACGAAGCAGCAAAAUAUCGUUACCGCUCUGGAGAUUUGUUUAACUGUGGUAGUCUUACCAUCAGAGCCCCCUGGGGUUGUGUGGGCCACGGUGCGCUGUAUCACUCUCAAAGUCCGGAAGCUUUUUUUGCUCACUGUCCAGGAAUAAAGAUUGUUAUUCCAAGAAGUCCUGUUCAGGCCAAAGGAUUGCUGCUAUCGUGCAUAGAGGACAAAAAUCCAUGCAUAUUUUUUGAACCUAAAAUACUUUACCGAGCUGCAGUGGAACAAGUCCCUGUGGAGCCCUACAACAUUCCGCUGUCUCAAGCUGAGGUGCUGCAGACGGGCAGUGAUGUGACACUGGUUGCUUGGGGGACUCAGGUACAUGUGAUCAAAGAGGUAGCAACAAUGGCUCAAGAAAAACUUGGUGUAUCCUGUGAAGUUAUUGAUCUGAGGACCAUCCUACCCUGGGAUACAGAGACUGUUUGCAAGUCAGUGGUGAAGACUGGGCGAUUGCUGAUUAGUCAUGAGGCUCCUUUGACAGGAGGAUUUGCAUCUGAAAUCAGUUCUACAGUUCAGGAGGAGUGCUUUUUGAAUUUAGAGGCUCCUAUUUCAAGAGUAUGUGGCUAUGACACUCCUUUUCCUCACAUCUUUGAGCCUUUCUACAUCCCAGACAAAUGGAAAUGCUAUGAUGCUCUUCGAAAAAUGAUUAAUUACUGAGAAGUAAUACAGAGAUGAGAAGAACAACAGGGAAAUACAGAAGCCUUCUUCAAAAUUCUUGACGUUUACUCAGAGCUUUUGGUUUUGGAAUUUGUAUAGCACAGACUGUUUUCUUUAAAAUCAGCUAUCGUUAAUAUUCCUCUUGACUAUUCUUCAGAAACUUCAAAUCCCCACUAAUUUUGAAAUCAGUGAUGGGCAGAAUCCCACAUUAUCCAGCUGGAAUGAAAGGAGGAGGAAGAAAUUUUGCGAUAAUGCAACUGAAAAUGAAGCUGUUGAUAUGUUUCUAAUCAAAAUGACAUUAUCAAAUCUUCUGUAAAUGUCUUCUGCCUGUAAGUCUUCUGUAAAUGCUGUCUGUAGAAUUUCUUGUUUUAAAUAAGCUCUAUGCAU
Molecule: non-coding RNA, 1365 nt
Organism: Struthio camelus australis
Lineage: Eukaryota; Metazoa; Chordata; Aves; Struthioniformes; Struthionidae
Source: RefSeq, a predicted model, not a curated record